Long non-coding RNA from Cydia pomonella (codling moth), 563 nucleotides. RefSeq lists it as uncharacterized. The transcript has 2 exons. Lineage: Eukaryota; Metazoa; Arthropoda; Insecta; Lepidoptera; Tortricidae. The record is from RefSeq and is a predicted model, not a curated record.
ACUUUACCACUGAUUCGCACUAAACGCUACGCAUCCAGCUUUAUCAGGCCAACGGCUAAGGAGUGGAAUUCACUUCCUACAAAUCUAUUCCCAGUCCACUAUAACUUGGACCUUUUUAAAUCGAGAGUGAAUAGACAUCUUUUAGGUAAGCAUUUGACCACAAUCUCACCUGAUGGAAAGUGCCGAUGCAGUCUAGGAUGGAACAUGCUUACCUAAAAGAUAUCUAUUCACUCUCGAUUUAAAAAGGUCCAAGUUAUAGUGGACUGGGAAUAGAUUUGCAGGAAGUGAAUUCCAAUCUUUAGCCGUUCGCAUGAUAAAGCUGGAUGCGUAGCGUUUAGUGGGAAUCAGUGGUAAAGUAACGACGUAAGGGUGAAACGCAAAUCCGCGUCUAGUCCCACGGUGGCUGAACGGAGAUGGGGGGAUAAGAUUAUGUAAUCCCAUCGCACACUCCCCGAAAUGUAUCCUGUAGAAUACCGAUAAACAGGCUACCUUUCUACGGUGUUCUAGGCUCUGCAGUCUAGCCUCUACCAAUCUCGCAUCCCCAAUAAGCUUCCUAGCGCGUU